UUUCCGUAGGUGAACCUGCGGAAGGAUCAUUAAUAAUGCCCUCUGGCUUCGGUCAGCUGGGUUCAAUGUGUGUCAUCUCUUCGGAGAUGGCCAUCCACACACACCGUGAACUGUGACUUCGGUCAUCACAAACUUUUAGUAAUGAAUGUAAAAAUCAUAACAAAAUAAAACUUUUAACAACGGAUCUCUUGGCUCUC
RNAcentral lists this unclassified non-coding RNA (197 nucleotides) under soil metagenome. Its description in RNAcentral is "partial contains small subunit ribosomal RNA, internal transcribed spacer 1, and 5.8S ribosomal RNA". The record is from RNAcentral.